This is a long non-coding RNA of Puntigrus tetrazona (Sumatra barb), 1288 nucleotides long. RefSeq lists it as uncharacterized. The transcript is spliced from 3 exons. The record is from RefSeq and is a predicted model, not a curated record. Lineage: Eukaryota; Metazoa; Chordata; Actinopteri; Cypriniformes; Cyprinidae.
AUGGGAUAUGGGUUGGGCACUACAAGUCCCAGCAGCCCCAGGGCUCUUAAAAGGAAGUAGUAAGGUUGUGUUUGUUCUUUUCACUUCCGGGUUUUUGAUUUUGGGGAAAGGUGGCGUGGAAUGUAGAGUGGCAUGUAGGUAAGGAGAUUUGAGUGAUGCAUUCUUACUACUUUGUUAGUUUUAUCGAUUGCAUAAUGAAUUGAUGUUGUGGUAGAUGUUACUUUGGGGAUAUGAGCGCAGAUAAUCAUUGCCGCCAAAUACCGCGGGAGCGUUGCUGAGAACUGAGAAUAUGCUGUACCGACUAAUAUGGUGUGACUGGAUUAUUGCCUGACUGUGGCCUGACCAUCUUGUCGAAAUAGUGGAUGUGAAAGGGAUGCAUGGUUACCGUUUACUUUAUGGUUAAAAUAUUGUUUUGUUUCGUUUCUUUAUUACCUUUUGUUUGUAAGUGUGGAGAUCCGGAGUGGUAGAGAUUGAGGUACUAGUGAAUGUGUUUGGUUGUUGAUUUUAUGUUUGUGUACCUUGUAUUGCCCACUGUUAAUUGUGUUUUGUUUAGACGGCGGUGGUUAUCGGGUUGCCCUCACAGUGUGGAUGACAGUGGUAAGGUGGCUGGGAUUGUGUGGUGGUUUGGUCACUGUAUUUCUGUGUCUUCUGUAGGUUUGCAGUGUGAUUGCUGUGAGCUUGGCUGCUGUGAGAACACUUUGGCUUCUAGGCCCUUCUUUCACUUUCUUAGGCAACCUGUGGCCACCUAGGGCCAGUUUUCUUUUAUUUCUUUUUCUUUAUUUUGUGGGCAUUUACAUCCAAAAGGGUAUGUGAUAUGUUUUAACAUGUUUGACUUGUCUUUAAUAAAAAUGUAUUUGAUUCUUUAAAGUCACCUCAUGGCCCCUUCUUUUGGUUAUUGACACAGUGAUUGGUCAUCAUACCACAAUUGGCGUAGUCGGCAGGGUCUGUUUUUUUUUUUUUUGAGGUGGUUGUGAGGUGUUGCUUUAUUGGGUUUUUUUUUUGUGUAUUUCUUUUUGUUGUUUGUUAGUAAACGGUAACCGUGCAUGAAGACGAUCAUCGCAGACUCUGGUUCAUGGACUAUGGAUUUUAUUCAUGUCUGAAUUGCCUUCCUAAAUAAUUCGUCAACAGAUAUGGAGCAAGAACUAAUAGACUUGCGGGAGCAAGUACGGGACUUGCAAGCACAAAAUGAGGAGCUGAGGAGAGAGCUCCCCCCGCGCGGCAGCAGUGCUUCUAACCAACCUCACCCUUCUGUAAUUAAUGCCUCAUCUCCAGUGUCUUUUAAUAGGGU